RNAcentral lists this ribosomal RNA (786 nucleotides) under Triticum aestivum (bread wheat). RNAcentral's name for it is "partial small subunit ribosomal RNA". Lineage: Eukaryota; Viridiplantae; Streptophyta; Magnoliopsida; Poales; Poaceae. The record is from RNAcentral.
AUGGCUUGCAGUCGAGGCAUAUUCCUAUCUGCCACCUUCGCCGUCCUGUCAAUCCUAUCACUCCCAAGGGCGACGCACGGCUGGGCGAACGGUGGCGCAACGUGGUACGGCGGCCCUAACGGCGACGGCAGCGAAGGUGGCGCGUGUGGUUAUAAAAGCGAUGUCGGCCAGGACCCGUUCUCGUCGUUGAUCGCCGCCGGCGGAGUGGGCAUCUUCAAGAACGGCAAAGGCUGCGGUUCAUGCUAUCAGGUCAGGUGCAAAGAGAACCCGGAAUGCUCCGGCAAACACGUGACCGUCGUCAUCACCGACCAGUGCCCCGACGCGCAGUGCCAGAAGAGGCCGCACUUCGACAUGAGCGGCACCGCCUUCGGCGCCAUGGCCAAGCCCGGGAUGGCCGAUAAACUGCGUAACGCCGGAGUCCUCAAUAUCGAAUUCGAGAGGGUGCCGUGCAAGUACCAUGGCAAGAAGAUUAGCUUCAAGAUGGACUCGGGCGCCAACCCAUUCUACCUCGCCAUGCUGGUCGAAUACGAGGCCGGCGACGGAGACCUCAACUCCGUGGAAGUCAUGGAGGCCGGCGGCAAAAAAGGCUACGCCAAGUGGGAAAAGAUGCGGCAGUCGUGGGGCGCCCUGUGGUGCAUGGACUCCAAGACCGGGAAGCCUCUGGAAGCCCCAUUCUCCUUCCGGCUCACCUCGAGUUCCGGCAAGGUGCUCGUCGCCAACAAUGUCGUCCCCGCCGGGUGGAAUGCUGGGAAGUGCUACGAGUCCAAGGUGAACUACCCCGCCUGA